Molecule: ribosomal RNA, 253 nt
Filed under: uncultured bacterium
Lineage: Bacteria
Description: partial 16S ribosomal RNA
Rfam family: Bacterial small subunit ribosomal RNA
Source: RNAcentral
GACGUAGGGGGCCAGCGUUGUUCGGAAUUACUGGGCGUAAAGGGUUCGUAGGCGGUGGGGCAAGUCGGGUGUGAAAUCUCUGGGCUCAACCCAGAGUCUGCUUCCGAAACUGCUGUGCUUGAGUGCGGGAGAGGCGCGUGGAAUUGCAGGUGUAGCGGUGAAAUGCGUAGAUAUCUGCAGGAACACCCGUGGCGAAAGCGGCGCGCUGGACCACUACUGACGCUGAGGAACGAAAGCUAGGGGAGCAAACAGG